GGGAAUAUUGGCCCCCCUGGAAGAAGGGGAGACCCAGGUCUGCCUGGCAUGCCUGGGUUGUUUGGUGAAAAGGGUCUAAAAGGGUAUAUAGGACAACAAGGCGCAAAGGGGAGAAGAGGAUCACCUGUGAGUACAUAUCCUGUUGUCAUCAUGUAUCCUCUGUAUGGAUCAUAUUAAUGUGUAAAGUGUGUGGGGUUUUCCUUUUCUUUUUUCAUCUAGGGGCUACCAGGAGCUCCAGGACCCCCUGGGAUGUCUUUGAACUUCACAGUAACACAACUGAAGGCAUGUCAAGUGCUUUUAGCUUUCAUUUGUGAUUGAAAAAUGAUG
Molecule: long non-coding RNA, 327 nt
Organism: Clupea harengus (Atlantic herring)
Lineage: Eukaryota; Metazoa; Chordata; Actinopteri; Clupeiformes; Clupeidae
Exons: 3
Source: RefSeq, a predicted model, not a curated record